Molecule: long non-coding RNA, 2249 nt
Organism: Chelonia mydas (Green sea turtle)
Lineage: Eukaryota; Metazoa; Chordata; Testudines; Cheloniidae
Exons: 3
Source: RefSeq, a predicted model, not a curated record
AGCCAAUUACCUCUUCACAUUUCUGAGGCCUGAAGAGCCACAAGCAAUUGCCUAGUUAGGAGACGACCUUGGGGUCUCUUCUUCCUUUCAGGAAAAUGAGCUAAGUCUCUUCCUAAAGGAAAUCUUUUAAAGAGACAGACCGUUUAAUAGAGCUCCUUAAAGGGCUCUCAGUGAAGCAAAGUCAAGUGAUCCUGUCACCUUAAGGAUGCGAGAGGAGAUGCUCUUACAGCCAGAAGAGUUUUCCGAGGCACACUAGUAACCUGGCAAGAAGUUAUUUUCAUUCACUGGAAUUGCCAGCAGACUGAAAAAUCCGUUAUUCACCCAGCUCUAUUUUCAAUAGGGACCAAGCUUACAAAAGCUAUCUGCUCCUACAGUGACCUAUCUGCUCCUACCGUGACACUUAGGGACAGAUGUUCAGCACACCCAAGGUCCACGGCAAGCAGAAAUCCCUGGCAGUGAGUCUCAGAGCCUGGGUCUAAAGACUCAGGCUUGCAGGGCUUGUGCUAUGAUGCUAAAAAUAGCCGUGUAGAUAUUCGGGUGUGGACCCUGAAACCCAGCGAGAGGGGUGGCAACUCAACAACUGCACUGCUUCAUUUCAUAGUAUGGGACAUCUCCUUUCUGUUCUAUGAGGGUAUUAAAAAACCCAGCCCGUUGUAACAUGACUGGGGGUCUUGCACAUCAGCAGGAGAGCUGAAACAUGUCACUACAUUGGUCAUGGUAAAAACUCACAUUUCCUAAUUGGUCACAUUAAUAGGAAAAUCAUUAAAGCUGAGUGAGUCAUUUCUUUAACUCAAACACAUGAUUCUUCAGAAGUAUCGCAAGUUGUGGGAAGAACAAGAAUGAUUAAAAGUGAGCAUUGCUCUGUGAACGGGUGACAGACGGAGAUAAUAAUUUGUGACCUGAGUCAUGGGCGAGGGGACUGCAGACCAUGCUGCUUCUGCCAAAUGUAUUCUCAUGCUCUCAGUUUUAUCCUUUGCCUCAUGCUGGACUCAACUCUCCGCUGACCUGAGCACUGGAAUGUUUGCCUGAGAUGGGGCCUAGCUAUGUCCGAGCUCUGAGGAUUGGCUACUGACGAGUGAGUGGUCACAUGGAUCUCCAUCUCCGUCAGUGACAAUGACUCAGCUUUUGGCUAGAGGAAUGAGCAUACGACUGGGGGUCAGGACUUCUAGGUUCUAGUUGUGGUCUGCCAUUGGCUGCAUGCCCUUGGGUGAGAGACUUCACCUCUCUGUGCCUCAGCAUCCUCACCUGUGAAAACGAUGCUGAUGAUUGUGUUUCAUCCUUCUAAAGUGCUUUUAGAUCCUCAUGCUGCAUCUCUACCCCUCAUGUUGAGUGGCAGUGGAUUCCUUUCCCUCCCAGAGAGACAGAGGCAGGAGCUGUAGCAGCGAUGGCAACAUCUUUCCCCUGGAGAAGCAAGGGGAAUGGAGACAAUACUUAAACCCCAGCUGCUGGGAUAGCUGCUAAGGUAGAUCUCUAGGCUGCACUUCUCUCCCACUGCCAUCUACUAAAUUGUCUGCUGGGUGGGGAUGGCAAGGUCUCCAAGAACAAUAGGUCUUGGCGUUAACACCCCAUUGAGAUGAAUGCCCCCCCAGAGCUAUCGUUUCAGGCUCUUUACAGACUCAGGCAGACACAGCAUAUUGAGAGUACAACAUGGGUCAUGUUUUCAUGUUGUUCUUCCCAACCAGGAGCACUAGAAACAUACUUAAAAAACAUAAACAAAAAAAAACACCUAGAAACUGAGACUCUGAAGGAAUCAUGUGACUCAGGGAGCCCUAGCCCCAUGGGCCUACAGUGCCUCUGUCUUUAUCCAGCCCAAGAUGCCAGUGAUGUGCAUAUCGCAAAUGCCUAAAAUAAAUAGCUAGCUUUGGAAAUAUGGGCUUUAUCCUGCAAGGUGGUGGGCCAAUGAGAGUUGAGGGCUCUGGGAAAUUUGCAGGAGGCCCUGAGACUCUUGCCGGAUAAGAUCGUAUAUGUUUGGAAACAAAACCCAGGGUGCCAUCUCCAGGUAGAUUGCCUCAGUAAAGCCAUUGGAAGCUUUAUCAGGACACUCGUAAUCUCCAUUUCAUUGAACAACAACUUUUGAUAAAAUCCCUAUUGAGAGCAAAGCAUGAGGAGGCGAAGGGGCCAAUUUAACAGCUUAUAUAUGCCUCCCCAUAGAAAUUCAUGGGUUUCCUUUCUAUGUGAUUUGCCCAAAGGCCUUAAAGAUGAUAAAGCAGGGAAUACAGAAUUUUAGACUAUUUACAUAAAAAAGGCAC